This is a long non-coding RNA of Prinia subflava (tawny-flanked prinia), 6420 nucleotides long. RefSeq lists it as uncharacterized. The transcript has 9 exons. The record is from RefSeq and is a predicted model, not a curated record. NCBI's taxonomy places the organism in Eukaryota, Metazoa, Chordata, Aves, Passeriformes, Cisticolidae.
AAGAGCUCCAAAGUUUGCUGCUGACAGGGGAACUUCACAGCCUAAACUUUUAGUCUGAGAUCCCCAGGAAAUUGGGUUACCUCUGGAAAUACUUCCACACAGUGAGAAUUUAUCCUGAGAUACAAAGACAUCGUUGUGGAUGAGCAUCCUGGACCCCUCUGUGCUACUCCUCGCCCCAGCUCCAGCUCUUACAAUACACCACAGACAUUACUGUCUAACCAUACAAUGCUGCAUCCUCAAUAAGGACACGUGUGUUGACAUCUCCUGGAGUCUGGCGUGGCCAGGAGCUGAGUGCCCAGCACUGUGUGCAGAGGGGAGACCAGGCACAGUGGCCCUUGGAGGAACAGCAGGCAGAACCAGUAUCAGCACAUCAGGACCCCCGUGAGAGCACGACGUGUUUGGCAGCCACUGUCACCAUCCUCCAAAGGGACCUUAAAUAAAGCCCUCUGUUUCAAAGUGCCACUGUUUCAAUGAGCCUAGAUGGGUUUUACUGCUGCAUCAGCUGCCAACACUCUGGAGAAGAUGGAGGUUGACAAUUGGAAUGGUGAUGCCUCAAAAACAAAAUGUGGGAAGAGACUACUUGCUGGAAGAAAACACAGUUCCUUGAAACAGUGCACCUGGGACCACCUGAGCUUCUCCCAAGGACCCAGAAAGCUGGCCUUGUGACCAGCUGCAGUACAUGUAUGGUGACUUAUGGGAACAUGGUCAAUUUUCAGCAAUUGUGGCUCUGAUCCUGUGUGUCGAGAAUGGCUGUGAAGUGUAUUUUUUAAAUCUUGAAACUACUGCUAGAACACAGCAAUUGUGAAUAUUAUUUUAUCUGCCCACAGGAAAUUUACUUAACCAUCUUCCAGUAACUUCUACUUAUCUUCACCAUGUCCUGUCUGAAUUCUUUAAAAGCUGCUCCUAAGUAACACUGACUUAAAAGAAAAAACACCCUCCCUCUGCAUUUUGUAACUAUUUAAAUAGAGAAGGUGUCCUGACCUCUCUAGUGUAUAGCUUGAGGGACAACAGCAAUGGAGAUGGCCUGGCGUGACUCCUGCAGGAACUACACCUGUUCUGUACCAGAUGUUCUCUGCAGGGGAUUCUUGGAUGCUUUCUACAACACAGCCACAAAUGUACUGAGUGUCAGAGCCUUCCCAGUUCCAUGGGGCCCAUGUCUUCCCAAGGAAGCUACCUCCAGAUGGGAAUCAUAACUCCACUGGACUGUUUCACGGGGCUUUGCACGCUAGAACAACUUUCCUGAUGCCUGUGGAGUUCUUACUCCUCCUGUCUUCAUUUUUGUUUACUCUUCAUCCCCCUUCUACAUGAGUUCAAAAUACAGAACAGUUUAUCAGCUUCUGUCCUCAAAAUGCCUAGAACUGGAUGGAGCCUUGUGGAUAGGGAUGCAAUGCAGGAGCAGCAACGACCAAAAUUCUCACCAUAGUUAUGCUAAACUUCAAGAAGAGGAACAACAUAAAACGUGAGAGCAUAUGUUAAAGAUUUGCAUCACAGUGGUGUGAUGAUGCUGAAACAGACUGUUGGCUGGAAUAACCUGCCCACCUUAUGGAGCAUUACAUAAGUGCUCUCAAAAAUACAGACUUCUGUUCCUCAGAGCUCCAAGCUAAGGCCCUGGAUCUUACUGUCUGAGUGAGAUCUGACUCAGAGAGAAUGAGAUUCACUAAUGAGCACUUACAGCUGCAACCACGACUAAUGAGAGCUGCAUUUUAAACUUCAAGAUAAAAUGUUGAGAACUCUGAAAAAUCAAGCAUUGAAGACCUAAAGAUGGAUAGAGAACAUUCAAAGACAAAAGACUUUCAAUUGGACACUAAGUGAUGAGUUGCAAGAAAAAUCGCCAAAGAUGGCACGAACGAAAACACUUCUAAGGCUGACAUUUGACAGCAUAACACAAGAAGGUAAUUGCACUUGACCAUCUUGAAACCCUAUGAACACCUUGAAAGCGCAGCAACAGAAAGAAGCAAGAGGACAUGAGUGUUUGCAACUCUGUCUUGCAGUCAUGGCAAUGAGAAGGAACUAAGUGGCAUUCACAUCUCAGCAAUUUUUUGCUAUAGGGUGGAAAAUAGGCUGACAUUCAUUUGCACAAAGUCCCAGAAGAUGUAACUGGCUAAAAGAUUUCAGCCUGAAGGAAACCAUGUGCAACCUUUUGGGAGAAUAUACCAGUUGUCACACAGGAAAAAACUGCUUCUCAGAUGAUAUCACAGUCAGUCUUUAUUGCCCAUUGUUUGGAGAUAAAUAGCUGAAAGUGAUAAGUGACUUUCAGGGCUUUCCCCAGGAAAGGAAAGGAUUUCAGAAGAAAAAGCUAAGUCAUCUGCCUUUCCCUGGCUACAUUUUGUAAGCAAAUCAGACUACACUCUUAAGAUUUUUUAAAACAUUUUUAUUAAUUUUUAUUCCUCUUGACAGGUUUUUAUAGUAAAAGAACAGAGAAUAACAUAUUACAAUGCAUAUGGACUGAAGUCCUUCAACAAGCUACAUUAACACAUUUUCUUUCUUGCACCAUAGCCAUCUCUCCCUGAAGAAUGGAAGGUUCAGGAAUUAUGGCUCAUUAGAAAAAACUCAGAACCUCAGACAAAACAACCAUGAGUGUGUUUUAAGACUCUUCUUCUAAGCCUCAAAAUUCCUUACAAGUAAAGGAAUGAAUGUAAUUCCUAUUAAUGAAUAGAAAUUAUUUUUAAAAUAACUAACAAACUGUGUUGGCUCAAAACAUCCAUCUUCUGAUACAGCUCAUCAGCUAGGCAUGACAGCUGGGUUACGUGUGCAUUCCUGUUGGACUCCUCUAGGAAGGAGAAUGGAGUAGCUCUCUGAUGGGAACUGGGGCUAUGGCCAUCAGAUGUGGAACUACACCAGGACCUUCUGAUUUACUAAAACUUCAGUCCCUGGACUAAAGAAAAUUUUGCUUUUACCCCAGUAUUUUCUGACAAAGUAUCUCACUGUCUGUGGACUGUUUUCCCAAGGUCUGGGAUGAAAAGGGAGCAAAAGGACUAAUUAAAAUUUCCUUCUCUUGUUUUUGUCCUGCUUAGAAAAGCUUAAAAAAGGGAAAACUCAAUUAUAAUAGAGGCAGCCAGCUUGAAGGAUUCAAAACAGGACCUAAUGGGUCUUUUCCCAGAGAGAAGAGGACAGACUGAGAUGGUGGAAUAAGGAUCAUGUGUAACAAGAUGGCAUAAUGGGAGGCAGAACAUGAGACUAUUGCCAUAGGAACAUUCACAUUUAACUGCAGAAGGAGAGGGCUAGUACAUGAGCUUGAAAAAAAAAUGAAAUCAGUUCCCUACAGUAAAAGCUAAAUAAAACGUCAUUUACAUAAAGAACACUUAAGGAAAGAAGAAAAGCAUUAAAAGGUGAGAAAGGCAGGAGAAACUGGAAGUAAGUGGAAAGGACAGACUGCCUCUGCCCAAGAAAAUAGCUGUGGGCUGCAAUUAGCUAAAUGGUACACGGCUCUGCGCUGUGUUAGUGCUGCAGUUCUGAACCACUCCAUGGUUUACUGCUGUGUCUAAUGGCAGGAGUGCUGAAUAAUAAAAGCUGUAUGCUGGACUGCCAACAGGAAUUAAUUUCCUUUAGCUUUUGGUGCUCAAGCUAUAUUUUAACUGAAAACUGCUAGCUUUUCUUUCUGGAAUGACAGUAACAGAUAACUACGGCACCACCAUGGGUUUAUAGCAACACUUUAUGCAUGGGGAUCAAUCGUUUAGACAGGAUUUGCUCUCGUCUCCACAAUCACUCCUUGCUCCCAUGAACAGGCUCAGCAUAGGAAAGAUAAGAUAGGGGGAGGCAGUUCUUAUGCAAUGAGGCUUCUUAAGCUAAAGGCAAUGAUUAAAAAUUCCACCUCCUCUUAUGAAUAUUAUGUAGCUACAAUAAACUUGCUCCUUGCCUGCAAACAAGCCAAAAGCCCUUCCUUAAUGCCAGGGCCACAGGGAAUCUCGGUGCCUGCUCUGAACAUCUCAGUGGUUAUGGGUGCCUCACCACUCGGCAGCACUCAGGCUGCCAGAGCCCAGCAGACAGAUCGAUGGGGUUAAGUGGAUUGUCUCUGUGCUUGCCUGUGUGUACACACCCCACCCUUCCCCUGCCUCCCGCUACAGCUACUUCUCUCUGGGGACACCGUUUGCCUGCUUGUCCAAACAAGCUCCAGAGCUUGAAAUUGCCAGGGAAUGAAGAGAGAAAAGUUUUCCUGCUUAUGUGGGGCAGGGUGAAAGGAGACAUGUCCUAUGCUAAAUACAGGGAAGAGGGAGCAAUUACUGCAAUAUAAUUUUCUGCUGGAUGUGGCAGGACCAGUCUGGUGACAGAUCAUAAGGAUUUGCUGUCUUUAUAAGCAGCACACAUGUCCUAGGGAGAAAAUAUCUCACGUAAAUAUGUAUGGGCACAGGGACAAGUGUCACACAGGGCUUCCCAUCAAAGGAGAGGAAACGCAGCAUCAUUUGGAGCGCUGCUUCUUUGGAACUGCAACCACAAAGGAAUGAAUAAUAGGAUUAAUUCACUUAGCUAUUGAUCUCAGACGCACACAUUUUCAUUUAACAUUAUGAGAACAGCCAGACUCUCAUGGUUCAUAGCCUGUGGGCAGUACAGCAGGGACAGCAGGUGCAAGCCCUUUUCCCCAUUUGCUGAUGAUGUAAAUCUUAGCAGCACAUUCCUUAUGGUGAGCCGCUGGGGAAGGAUCUCCUAUGGAAAAUAACCUAAUGUCUGGACUGGUGACGCUAAUGCUGUUCUCUACAGAUGCACUCUGAGCAAAUAAUUGGUAGGGGCCUACCCAUGGAAAUUCUAUACAGAAAGCUGAAGAAAGGGAGGGAAGGAAGAAAAUAGAAUAGGCUGAUUUAAUUAGGUCUGGACAUACAUGCACACAAUUUCUCAGCUAAUCAGGGAAAAAGUUCAAAUACAGCCUCCCCAUACCACCAUAAACAUUGAAGAUCUAUGACAGUGAGAAAAGAAAGAAUAUGGUGCAGGGAGACAUUAAGACAUUUUUCAGUAGUUUCAUCACAUGGAACAUGAGGUCUGCUCAGGGUCCUGAACAACUUCUUUGCCAAAUUAAUCUGCAAAGUUAAGUUUCUCAUAACUAGCUCUUACAAAACCACCCUGCCCAUAAGCAAGUGGAUGCAAGGGCCAAAAGUAAGUGUCAAAGGUGGUAAAGACCAUGCUGGCAUGGUGGAGUCACCAGGUGACACCAGUAGAGAUGCUGACACCUUAGAUGAUCCCAAACUGGGCCAGCUCGUGCAGUUCCAGAUGGCUGAAAGCUUCCCAUGGGCAAAUCACGGUGAUAUCUGCAAAAGAGAGGAAAUGACAAAUGUGUUCUUGUCAAUGCACUCCUCAGAUUUAUUUUUUACUAAUGGAAAGGCUGAUUUAUUCAAGAAACAUUAACAAGAAUUAGAUUCCAUUUGAAAGUUAAGUGGGCAGAUGAGCAUUUCAAAUCUGGUACUACCUGUCAGACCAAACCAAAUCAAAUCUCUGUGAGAGAACAAAAGCAAGCAAGCAGUUCCUAGUCUCUUCAGUGACUAUGUAAACUGGUGUAAAAAAAUCAUUCCAGUUAUGAGGUGUUUCCUGUUCUUAUAAAUUACCUGUAGCCAAACUGUGAUCUCCUUGAAGACGUGCGCAGUUUUAGAUCAGAUGCUGAAUAAUUUGGCCUAAAAUAUUCAGGAUCUGUAAAUCUCUCUUCAUAGAUACUUCAAAGUCCUGACUGGCUACAGCUCAUCCAAUGCAUAUUUCUCAAUCCCAGAUGGGUACAUAAUAUUCUUAAAAUUAGGAUUCUGAUGACAACAAAAAUACUUAGCCAUCUGGGAUUUAGUUUCUGUGAUUUUUUGGUAUUAAUAGCUUAGCAUUUAGCAUUUCUUUGAGAAUCUCAUGCUGCUGAAAUUCUUAGCCAGAGUAUUAGCAGAAAACAAACAAGCAUUUCUGCAGCCCAAUGUAAGUAGUCUGAAACUGAAGCAUACUUAAAUGGCCCUUCCUUCACGUAGUGUAUGUAAGCAUAAGCAUGAACAUGGCAGCCUGGGGAGGCAGAACUAGUCUUCUCCAGUGACCCUGAGACCUGCAGACAGGCCAGGGAAACAGAGGCCACCCCAGAAUCCUCUCCCAUGAUCAAGUUUUUCUGCAUUAGUGCUAAAGCAAGGCAUAACAACAUCCUGCAGAGCUUACCUGUGCCCAGCCCCUCCAUGCCUGGGAUGUCAUCUCCAAACCUAGAAAGGAAAAAGCAGGUAAGGAGUGAGUUUGGGGCAGCAGCAAGGAAAGGGGAGAUGUCCUAAACCCCCACCCAAGGAAGAAGGAUUGUGGGGAGGGAGCAGAAGAGAAGCAGCUCCAGGUUGAAGAGCUAAUGGCACCUGGAGGCAGCAGGAAGCUGCCUGGCUCCUUGCCCAAGGGAAGAUGCACAGAAGAACAACUGUAGCUGUGGGGAGCUACUUAACUAGCAUAGUUUCUUUUCUUUCCAAAAUUCCCUUACCCUCUUACUCCUUU